AACGAACGCUGGCGGCGCGCCUAAUACAUGCAAGUCGAGCGAGAAGACGUAGCAAUACGUUUGUAAAGCGGCGAACGGGUGAGGAAUACAUGGGUAACCUACCCUCGAGUGGGGAAUAACUAGCCGAAAGGUUAGCUAAUACCGCGUACGCUCCUUGGACUUCGGUUCAGGGAGGAAAGCGAUACCGUGGGUAUCGCGCUCUUGGAUGGGCUCAUGUCCUAUCAGCUUGUUGGUGAGGUAACGGCUCACCAAGGCUUCGACGGGUAGCUGGUCUGAGAGGACGAUCAGCCACACUGGCACUGCGACACGGGCCAGACUCCUACGGGAGGCAGCAGUAAGGAAUAUUGCGCAAUGGGCGAAAGCCUGACGCAGCGACGCC
Molecule: ribosomal RNA, 379 nt
Filed under: uncultured bacterium
Lineage: Bacteria
Description: bacterial SSU rRNA
Rfam family: Bacterial small subunit ribosomal RNA
Source: RNAcentral